CGCGUAGGCGGACUAUUAAGUCAGAGGUGAAAUCCCAGGGCUCAACCCUGGAACUGCCUUUGAUACUGGUAGUCUUGAGUUCGAGAGAGGUGAGUGGAAUUCCGAGUGUAGAGGUGAAAUUCGUAGAUAUUCGGAGGAACACCAGUGGCGAAGGCGGCUCACUGGCUCGAUACUGACGCUGAGGUGCGAAAGUGUGGGGAGCAAACA
This 207-nucleotide ribosomal RNA is filed under the name uncultured bacterium. RNAcentral's name for it is "partial 16S ribosomal RNA". It matches the Rfam family "Bacterial small subunit ribosomal RNA", at positions 568 to 774 of the family's 1533-position model. The record is from RNAcentral.